This 74-nucleotide unclassified non-coding RNA is filed under the name Bizionia paragorgiae. Its description in RNAcentral is "Flavo-1 RNA". The record is from RNAcentral. Lineage: Bacteria; Pseudomonadati; Bacteroidota; Flavobacteriia; Flavobacteriales; Flavobacteriaceae.
UACAAGCUGAAAAAAGGAGUGUAGCGGCAUCCUUUUGCGUUUGGCAAAAGAUAUAGUGCAAGGCCUGUUUUUUG